AAAUUGAAGAGUUUGAUCAUGGCUCAGAUUGAACGCUGGCGGCAGGCCUAACACAUGCAAGUCGAACGGUAACAGGAAACAGCUUGCUGUUUCGCUGACGAGUGGCGGACGGGUGAGUAAUGUCUGGGAAACUGCCUGAUGGAGGGGGAUAACUACUGGAAACGGUAGCUAAUACCGCAUAACGUCGCAAGACCAAAGAGGGGGACCUUAGGGCCUCUUGCCAUCGGAUGUGCCCAGAUGGGAUUAGCUUGUUGGUGGGGUAACGGCUCACC
RNAcentral lists this ribosomal RNA (272 nucleotides) under Escherichia coli. Its description in RNAcentral is "partial 16S ribosomal RNA". It matches the Rfam family "Bacterial small subunit ribosomal RNA", at positions 1 to 269 of the family's 1533-position model. The record is from RNAcentral. Lineage: Bacteria; Pseudomonadati; Pseudomonadota; Gammaproteobacteria; Enterobacterales; Enterobacteriaceae.